UACGUAGGGUGCAAGCGUUAAUCGGAAUUACUGGGCGUAAAGCGUGCGCAGGCGGUUGUGCAAGACAGAUGUGAAAUCCCCGGGCUCAACCUGGGAACUGCAUUUGUGACUGCACAGCUUGAGUGCGGCAGAGGGGGAUGGAAUUCCGCGUGUAGCAGUGAAAUGCGUAGAUAUGCGGAGGAACACCGAUGGCGAAGGCAGCCCCCUGGGCCAAUACUGACGCUCAGGCACGAAAGCGUGGGGAGCAAACAGG
Molecule: ribosomal RNA, 253 nt
Filed under: uncultured bacterium
Lineage: Bacteria
Description: partial 16S ribosomal RNA
Rfam family: Bacterial small subunit ribosomal RNA
Source: RNAcentral